Long non-coding RNA from Sciurus carolinensis (gray squirrel), 767 nucleotides. RefSeq lists it as uncharacterized. The transcript has 3 exons. The record is from RefSeq and is a predicted model, not a curated record. Lineage: Eukaryota; Metazoa; Chordata; Mammalia; Rodentia; Sciuridae.
UCCUUCCCGCCCCCGCUUUUCGCGCUUGGAGGAAGUGAGGGCGGGGAGUCUGAGCGCGCCCGCCAGCAGUCGGGUAAGGAUGGGGGAAGGGCACGCGCGGGAAAUAGACUGCAGGGUCUUGAGGCGCCGCGCCCCAGAGUUUAACGCAACGAACUUCAGAUACCGCAGAGAGGGUGCCUGGGCAUUACCUCCCAGAGCCGGAGAUGAAAUCCCCUUUUAUCUGGUCCUCCGGCUAACGUCCACAAAGGCGGAUCUCAUCUACCCCCUCCCUCGCCACUCGCCUCGCUUUUUGUUUUUCAACUGGACGGCGUCAGUCCCAGCCCUCUCUAGCUAGAGGCCUUCCGCGCCCCUCCGGCUCGUUUCCCCCCGGUUUUCCCGAACGUCGCCGGACGCCUCGGCGCGGCCCACUCACCAUGAUGGCUACGGGUUAGGAAGCAAAGGCAACAGGAGCAGACACCGGGUCCUGGUUACCGUCCCCGACAAGCUAAGAGUCGAGGCAGUGACUUUCACCUGAUAAUGUGGAGGAUUCGAGCUUCAGAAAAUCGGGAUGAUUUAUUAUGAUGACUUGUUGUCGAAACUCAGAAUGUGGAGGAAAUGGCUGGAGUUCUAGAGACUAUCUAUGACAACAAGCAACCUUAAACCAUAUUCUAAGGAUGGAGAAAAAUAGAUCUAAGUCCCUGAUGACAUUGUGGAGCAGCCACACAAACCCUGGAUUGCCUACCCAGGAUUUCUCAUUAUGAGAGAAAAUAAAACAAUUUAUUUCACCA